RNAcentral lists this unclassified non-coding RNA (336 nucleotides) under Agaricales sp. Its description in RNAcentral is "partial contains 5.8S ribosomal RNA, internal transcribed spacer 2, and large subunit ribosomal RNA". The stretch from base 1 to 71 matches the Rfam family "5.8S ribosomal RNA", at positions 84 to 154 of the family's 154-position model. The record is from RNAcentral. Lineage: Eukaryota; Fungi; Basidiomycota; Agaricomycetes; Agaricales.
GUGAAUCAUCGAAUCUUUGAACGCACCUUGCACCCUUUGGUAUUCCGAAGGGUAUGCCUGUUUGAGUGUCAUUAAAUUCUCAAACCUAUUGGUCUUUAUUGAUUAGUAGGCUUUGGAUGUGGGAGUUGCUGGCCUAACAGUCGGCUCUCCUUAAAUACAUUAGUGGCUUUGUCGAUCCCCAUUCACUUGGUGUGAUAGUAAUAUCUACAUUGAGGGAUGGCUAGGUCAUGUUAUGGCAACUGCUUUCUAACAGUCCUUUACUGGACAACUUGAACCAUUUGACCUCAAAUCAGGUAGGACUACCCGCUGAACUUAAGCAUAUCAAUAAGCGGAGGA